UAUUCAAGGUGAAGGGCUAUCUAAAUAUAAAUCCAUACAAGUACUUUGAAGAUAUAAAUCUCUCGAACAGCUUUUAACAAAAAUAGUUUAUGUUCCCGAUGAAGAUGGUGAAAAAAUAAAAAAAACGGACCAUGAGAAGGUUUUGGUUAUAUUAUAAUGGGGAAAAAAAACUAAGAAGAAGAGAAGUUAAAAGAACGAUUUAUCAACGUAGACGUGGAACUAAUCCGUGAGUUGGAAUUAAUGAUGUGGAGAGAACAGCACAUAAGUGUUACGCGCACGUGGAUUCAUGCGACAAUAGUAAGAUCAUUGAUUGAACUUAAAGUUCUUUGAACUUUAAACACUCUCCAAUAUCUAAUAAUAGAUGUAAUAAUUAUAAACGCUUUACGAUAAAAUAAUUAAGAUGAAUGUUUAAGUAUACAUUUAAAUGAUUACAUAUUUAUGAAUCACAUAUUGUUCGGCCGUUGGACUUUUGAUUUUUUUAUUAUUUCCUGGUAUGUUUAUUUAUUUACAUGCUACGCUGAUUAAAGCCAAGUGUCUAGAUAAAACUCUAAUCAAUGAUAAAUUCAACUGGACUGUAUGCUGUGUACAUUGGCCAGCCGUUUAUAUACUACUGAUAUACUUUCCAUUUAAAUAUUUAAUACAAGCGAAUAAAAUUGUGUGGAUAAAUAAAAAAAUUUGAUACGCGAACAAGCUGAUCCGGUUUGCUGAUGUCUUACCAAGAAAAUAAUUUUAUUUGUAACGGCACAUUCAAUGUAUGUGACGGCAAAUUUAACAAUACUUUAAAUGACGGGUACGAUAAAAAAAGAUAUACAUGUAUAUAAGUAUACACUUCCGGUGGUACUUGAUCGAUCAACUCUCUUCUAGAUUCCGUAGAAUGAAAGUUCUCAGCACGUCGUACGGAUCUUCUUUAUAGGGUUGUUGCGCGUAUGGAACUUCGGUCACUAGUUCACGGGCACGAAUCAAUGCGCCGAAGCAUUUUCCAUUUCAAGUUCAUAUCUAUAAGAUAAUCCAUCUUUAUAGUUUUACAACACUGACGUUAUCCUGCAUCAUUUAAUCCAGCGAAUUAAGAAGACUAGUGAUGAUAAUUUAUAAAGAACAACAUCUUUGAUGAUGCCGAAGGUCAAAAAAAAAAUUUUAAUGACCUGGUAUAAAGUUUAAAAUAAAAGUCAAGUAACAAUAAUACGAGACUUAAGACUUUUGACUUAAAUUGUUAAAUAAAAGGAUCUUAUUUCAUAGAUCGCAAUAAAAUUUUUAGCAUAUAAAAGUAAACUGACAAGUAAAGAAAUAUCUUGUUGGCUUACACGUAAAAAAGAUCAGUGUCAUUUCAUUAAAUGCUGCGCUCUAAUUAGUCUACUGUAGCGUUGCUGUGACGUUUUACAUCUGACACUAAAUUACGUGCUAAUUGUCCUCGUGUUGAUGCUGAACAAGAUGAUGGAAAAAAUAUAUUACAGAGGAAGCCAAUCAAAUUGACGUUCACGUAUAGAUAAAAUUUGAAUUAAAAAUAAUAAUAAAUUUUGUCAACCUUCUUUUUUUGUAUAUUUGUUGACCUUCCGAGUCUUAUUGCGUAACAACUGUAUG
This is a long non-coding RNA of Microplitis demolitor, 1578 nucleotides long. RefSeq lists it as uncharacterized. The transcript has 4 exons. Lineage: Eukaryota; Metazoa; Arthropoda; Insecta; Hymenoptera; Braconidae. The record is from RefSeq and is a predicted model, not a curated record.